GUGCCAGCAGCCGCGGUAAUACGAAGGGUGCAAGCGUUACUCGGAAUUACUGGGCGUAAAGCGUGCGUAGGUGGUUGUUUAAGUCUGUUGUGAAAGCCCUGGGCUCAACCUGGGAACUGCAGUGGAAACUGGACAACUAGAGUGUGGUAGAGGGUAGCGGAAUUCCCGGUGUAGCAGUGAAAUGCGUAGAGAUCGGGAGGAACAUCCAUGGCGAAGGCAGCUACCUGGACCAACACUGACACUGAGGCACGAAAGCGUGGGGAGCAAACAGGAUUAGAUACCCCAGUAGUCC
Molecule: ribosomal RNA, 292 nt
Filed under: uncultured bacterium
Lineage: Bacteria
Description: partial 16S ribosomal RNA
Rfam family: Bacterial small subunit ribosomal RNA
Source: RNAcentral